CCCUUAGAUGUCCUGGGCCGCACGCGCGUUACACUGAUGCAUUCAACGAGAUUAUAACCUUGGCCGAGAGGCCUGGGCAAUCUUGUUAACGUGCAUCGUGAUAGGGAUAGAUUAUUGAAAUUAUUAAUCUUGAACGAGGAAUUCCUAGUAAACGCAGAUCAUCAAUCUGCAUUGAUUACGUCCCUGCCCUUUGUACACACCGCCCGUCGCACCUACCGAUUGGAUGGUCCGGUGAAGCCUCGGGAUUGUGGUUCUUGCCGCUUUAUUGUGGCGUGACCGCGAGAACUUGUCUAAACCUUAUCAUCUAGAGGAAGGUGAAGUCGUAACA
This 328-nucleotide ribosomal RNA is filed under the name uncultured eukaryote. RNAcentral's name for it is "partial 18S ribosomal RNA". It matches the Rfam family "Eukaryotic small subunit ribosomal RNA", at positions 1470 to 1796 of the family's 1831-position model. The record is from RNAcentral.